Didymella keratinophila is the source of this 95-nucleotide non-coding RNA. NCBI's taxonomy places the organism in Eukaryota, Fungi, Ascomycota, Dothideomycetes, Pleosporales, Didymellaceae. The record is from the annotation of a GenBank genome assembly.
GCAUCGGUGGUUUAGUGGUAAAAUUAGCCGUUGCCACGUGACCUAUUAGGUUACACAGUCUCGGCUAGCCCCGGGUUCGAUUCCCGGCCGAUGCA